AACGAACGCUGGCGGCGUGGAUAAGACAUGCAAGUCGAACGGGAUUUUUUUUCUGUAGCAAUACAGGAAAAAGUCUAGUGGCGAACGGGUGCGUAACACGUGAGCAACCUGCCGUGAAGUGGGGGAUAGCUCGCCGAAAGGCGAAUUAAUACCGCAUGUGGCCAAGGAAGACAUCUUCCUGACGCCAAAGCCGGGGCAACCUGGCGCUUCUCGAGGGGCUCGCGGCCUAUCAGCUUGUUGGUGAGGUAACGGCUCACCAAGGCUAUGACGGGUAGCUGGUCUGAGAGGACGACCAGCCACACUGGAACUGAGACACGGUCCAGACACCUACGGGUGGCAGCAGUCGAGAAUUUUUCACAAUGGGGGAAACCCUGAUGGAGCGACGCCGCGUGGAGGAUGAAGGUUUUCGGAUUGUAAACUCCUGUCAUUAGAGAACAAGGCACACGGUUUAACUGGCCGUGUGUUGAUAGUAUCUGAAGAGGAAGAGACGGCUAACUCUGUGCCAGCCGCCGCAGUAA
This 518-nucleotide ribosomal RNA is filed under the name uncultured bacterium. Its description in RNAcentral is "partial 16S ribosomal RNA". It matches the Rfam family "Bacterial small subunit ribosomal RNA", at positions 29 to 523 of the family's 1533-position model. The record is from RNAcentral.